Molecule: ribosomal RNA, 253 nt
Filed under: uncultured bacterium
Lineage: Bacteria
Description: partial 16S ribosomal RNA
Rfam family: Bacterial small subunit ribosomal RNA
Source: RNAcentral
UACGUAGGGUGCGAGCGUUACUCGGAAUUACUGGGCGUAAAGCGUGCGCAGGCGGUGAGCUGUGUCCGAUGUGAAAGCCCCGGGCUUAACCUGGGAAUGGCAUUGGAAACUGGCUCGCUGGAGUGUGGCAGAGGGGGGUGGAAUUCCGCGUGUAGCAGUGAAAUGCGUAGAGAUGCGGAGGAACACCGAUGGCGAAGGCAGCACUCUGGGACGUGACUGACGCUGAGACGCGAAAGCGUGGGGAGCAAACAGG